AUUGAACGCUGGCGGCAUGCCUUACACAUGCAAGUCGAACGGUAACAGGUCUUCGGAUGCUGACGAGUGGCGAACGGGUGAGUAAUACAUCGGAACGUGCCUAGUAGUGGGGGAUAACUACUCGAAAGAGUGGCUAAUACCGCAUGAGAUCUACGGAUGAAAGCAGGGGAUCGCAAGACCUUGUGCUACUAGAGCGGCCGAUGGCAGGUUAGGUAGUUGGUGGGAUAAAAGCUUACCAAGCCGGCGAUCUGUAGCUGGUCUGAGAGGACGAUCAGCCACACUGGGACUGGGACACGGCCCAGACUCCUACGGGAGGCAGCAGUGGGGAAUUUUGGACAAUGGGCGAAAGCCUGAUCCAGCAAUGCCGCGUGCAGGAUGAAGGCCUUCGGGCUGUAAACUGCUUUUGUACGGAACGAAAAGCCCCGGGUUAAUACCCUGGGGUCAUGACGGUACCGUAAGAAUAAGCACCGGCUAACUACGUGCCAGCCGCCGCCGUAA
Molecule: ribosomal RNA, 498 nt
Filed under: uncultured bacterium
Lineage: Bacteria
Description: partial 16S ribosomal RNA
Rfam family: Bacterial small subunit ribosomal RNA
Source: RNAcentral